GCACUAGUGGCGGAAUUGGUAGACGCGCUAGACUCAAAAUCUAGUGAGGUAAUUCUCGUGCCGGUUCGAUUCCGGCCUGGUGUA
Molecule: transfer RNA, 84 nt
Filed under: Bacteroidales bacterium
Lineage: Bacteria; Pseudomonadati; Bacteroidota; Bacteroidia; Bacteroidales
Description: tRNA-Leu
Rfam family: tRNA
About the family: Transfer RNA (tRNA) molecules are approximately 80 nucleotides in length. Their secondary structure includes four short double-helical elements and three loops (D, anti-codon, and T loops).
Source: RNAcentral